CCUGGAGCUAAAGGGGGCGUCCAGCGUUCGAUUUCCCGUGUGCCUGUCUCCAUCCUGGAAUUCCUGACCUCUAUGGAGUGUUCAUUGUGCGCCAAGCACCGUUCCUCAAGACGAGUAGCUGAGGGGGCGUCAUCCUUACUUUUCAGACGAGCAAACUGAGGCCCGAGGAUUUCCCACCUGCACGAUGGCAGUUCCUGCUUCACUGUUCUGCAAGUGUCCACUCUUCACCCAUGGAGUUAGUCACACAGCAGCCAAGUCCCAAGCCGGGUCUGGUGAUGCACACCCUACGCACAGGAAGCAGAGGCAGGCAGAUCUCAGUUCCAGGCCAUCCAGGGGAUCUUAAAGCUGCAGCCCAAGUUAGUUUCGAACUCACGGCGGUCCUGGCAUCUGAAGGGCAGCAGCACACCCAACUUUUCUUCUUGUACUUCUUCUCCCCCAUUCAUGUAAUCUUUGCUCGGAUGCCGAUGACCCCCAUUUCAGAGAUGCGGGAAAGGAGGCUUUGAACAAAUCAGUCACUCAACCAAGGAUGUACACCUGGCCAAGCCUCGGGCUCUUCCUCAUUGCACCUCUUCACCUAUGUGCAAGCAACAGAUCUUUCCAACAGUCUUCUGGACAUUCCUAGAGGUAGCUCAGCCCUUGACCUUUUGGCUACAAUCAAGAGUAGCAACAGAACUGAAGUUGAUGGCACACAGGGGAGACGGAGGCAGGUAGAUCUGAUUUUGAGACCAGCCUGGCCUACAGAGAGAAUUCCGGGACAUCCAAGGCAACAAAGAGAGACCCUGUCUCAAAAGUAAAAUAAAAUAAAAUAAAAUGCUGAGUACAAUCACCA
This 829-nucleotide long non-coding RNA is filed under the name Rattus norvegicus (Norway rat). Its description in RNAcentral is "long non-coding RNA NONRATT019976". Lineage: Eukaryota; Metazoa; Chordata; Mammalia; Rodentia; Muridae. The record is from RNAcentral.